Molecule: long non-coding RNA, 668 nt
Organism: Mauremys reevesii (Reeves's turtle)
Lineage: Eukaryota; Metazoa; Chordata; Testudines; Geoemydidae
Exons: 3
Source: RefSeq, a predicted model, not a curated record
AGGAGCCGUCCAUGCACCUCACUCUAUGGAAAAUCCUGCAUGUCACUCUGGAUGUCUUUGCUUCUAUUUGGUGACCAAGACAGCUGUUGUCACACCUGUUCUCUGGUGCUUCAGUCUAGGACACUCUUACAGACUGAUACCGGGGAGACAAACACACUGCACUCUCUUCCUGGGGAAUCUGCUCCAUCAGAAGCACAGCCUGCUGCACUUUAGUGGCAAUAAAACAAAGAAAAUCAUAGCAAGACUACAGCUUCUGCCUUGUUAGGGCUGUGAUAAGAUAAAAUAUUUUAGGGUCCAGACACGAGAGGACUCCAACCUAAAGGGAGAAGCCUGGGGUCCCAUGCCUAAUCGAGAAGGCUACCCCAUUGUUGAACUCUUUGCACAUACCCUGAAAGCAUGGACUUGAAUGUGGGACCUGGCUGGAGGGCUGAGUCACUGAAGGGACAGAUCAUUGCAGGGAAAGGGGAGCACCUGGAAAGAAAAGAGCCUGAUGUACUUCCUGACCAUGAGGUGGUGCCGGGAUUAUAUACUUUAUGCAAAGAAAUCCAUAAUAGAGAUCCAGCAGAUCCAGCUCUUACUUGAUAUGACAGAUCUUUUAAUGUGAAAAGAGAAAAGUAAAGGUUGUCAAUAAACGUUUAAGAAACUAUGCAGACAUCUGAAAGCUCUAA